GAGAGUUAAACAGUACGUGAAAUUGUUGAAAGGGAAACGAUUGAAGCCAGUCGUACCUUCGGGUAAUCAGCCUUUCGGGUGCGAUUCUGUGGAGUGUGAGGAGUUAAACACCUUCAUGUUUUGCAUAUUCGUACUCUUGGGUGUACUUGCCCGUGUGGUUGGUUAACAUCAAUUUUGGUGGUCAUAAAAUGACUGGAGGAAUGUAGCUUCGAUCUUGUAUUGAAGUGUUAUAGCCUUCGGUAGAUGUGAUGAUCAAGAUUGAGGAUUGCAACGGAUACCCUUCGGGGCUACCUGUCUGAUCUCUGAUCGUUGCUCUGGUGCCGAAAGCUUGCUUACGGUUAUCAGAGUCGAUGGUCAAUAGGUUAGAACGGGUUAAAUUCGUUAAGGAUGUUGACGUAAUGGCUUUAAACGA
This 412-nucleotide ribosomal RNA is filed under the name uncultured Rhizophagus. RNAcentral describes it as "partial 28S ribosomal RNA". The record is from RNAcentral. Lineage: Eukaryota; Fungi; Glomeromycota; Glomeromycetes; Glomerales; Glomeraceae.